UUCAAAUUAAAUCAGUUUGAAUGAUAAAAAUCAGUCGAAAAAUGCAUCUUUUCCCGAUAUGUCAGAGUUUGACGUCGCGAAAAUAACAUUUUACGUUAGCAACAUCAUUACAUUCCCUGUAACUGUAUCGUAUGCCCUUAAGCUCACAAUCUGCCUCUGGAAGAAGCAUACAUUUUUGUUAAUGUCCUUUUUUUCUGUUGAACUAAUAGGAGAAAUAGAGGUAAUAUCGAAAUAAAAAAAUUUACAGAAAUCUCUUAAAUUUUACAAUUAUUUAGUUUAUGUACAGUUUAUUUGAUAACAAUAAUAAAAAAUAUAGGUCACCGAUGAGUU
Molecule: long non-coding RNA, 330 nt
Filed under: Mytilus galloprovincialis (Mediterranean mussel)
Lineage: Eukaryota; Metazoa; Mollusca; Bivalvia; Mytilida; Mytilidae
Source: RNAcentral